Long non-coding RNA from Sinocyclocheilus rhinocerous, 339 nucleotides. RefSeq lists it as uncharacterized. Lineage: Eukaryota; Metazoa; Chordata; Actinopteri; Cypriniformes; Cyprinidae. The record is from RefSeq and is a predicted model, not a curated record. The transcript is spliced from 3 exons.
AUUCCUGUAAUAAGAAGACAGCUUGAAGAUGUUUGCAGAACUGGAUCCCUGGAUGAGAGCAGGAGGCUUUUUGUAGAUGGUCGUGAGAUCGCCAUUGUCUAUUUCCGUAAUGGAUACAUGCCCCAAAACUACACCUCAGAGAAGAGCUGGGAGGCCCGUCUGAUGAUGGAGCGCUCUCUGGCUGUGAAGUGUCCAGACAUCAGUACCCAUCUCUCCGGUACUAAGAAGGUGCAGCAGGAAUUGGCCCGGCGGGGGGUUCUGGAGCGCUUCUUCCCUGACGAACCUGAAACAGUUGCUCAGAUUCGGGCCACUUUCGCUGGGCUGUACACCCUGGACAUG